ACAAGCGGUGGAGCAUGUGGUUUAAUCGAAGCAACGCGAAGAACCUUUACCAGGUCUUGACAUCCCGAUGCUAUUUCUAGAGAUAGAAAGUUACUUCGGUACAUCGGUGACAGGUGGUGCAUGGUUGUCGUCAGCUCGUGUCGUGAGAUGUUGGGUUAAGUCCCGCAACGAGCGCAACCCCUAUUGUUAGUUGCCAUCAUUCAGUUGGGCACUCUAGCGAGACUGCCGGUAAUAAACCGGAGGAAGUGGGAUGACGUCAAAUCAUCAUGCCCCUUAUGACCUGGGCUACACACGUGCUACAAUGGUUGGUACAACGAGUUGCGAGUCGGUGACGGCGAGCUAAUCUCUUAAAGCCAAUCUCAGUUCGGAUUGUAGGCUGCAACUCGCCUACAUGAAGUCGGAAUCGCUAGUAAUCGCGGAUCAGCACGCCGCGGUCGAAUACGUUCCCGGGCCUU
This 455-nucleotide ribosomal RNA is filed under the name uncultured Streptococcus sp. Its description in RNAcentral is "bacterial SSU rRNA". It matches the Rfam family "Bacterial small subunit ribosomal RNA", at positions 925 to 1382 of the family's 1533-position model. Lineage: Bacteria; Bacillati; Bacillota; Bacilli; Lactobacillales; Streptococcaceae. The record is from RNAcentral.